ACAAUAAAACUAGGUCCUGGCCGGGUUCGAACCGGCGACCUUCUGCGUGUGAAGCAGACGUGAUAACCACUACACCACAGGACC
Molecule: non-coding RNA, 84 nt
Organism: Caenorhabditis elegans
Lineage: Eukaryota; Metazoa; Nematoda; Chromadorea; Rhabditida; Rhabditidae
Source: Ensembl